UACGGAGGAUGCGAGCGUUAUCCGGAUUUAUUGGGUUUAAAGGGUGCGCAGGCGGAAGAUUAAGUCGGCGGUGAAAUUUUGCAGCUCAACUGUAAAAGUGCCAUCGAUACUGGUUUUCUUGAGUGUGGAUGAAGUAGGCGGAAUUUGUGGUGUAGCGGUGAAAUGCAUAGAUAUCACGAGAAACUCCGAUUGUGCAGGCAGUUUACUAGGCCAUAACUGACGCUCAGGCACGAAGGCGUGGGGAUCAAACAGGAUUAGA
Molecule: ribosomal RNA, 259 nt
Filed under: uncultured prokaryote
Description: partial 16S ribosomal RNA
Rfam family: Bacterial small subunit ribosomal RNA
Source: RNAcentral